This 268-nucleotide ribosomal RNA is filed under the name uncultured bacterium. Its description in RNAcentral is "partial 16S ribosomal RNA". It matches the Rfam family "Bacterial small subunit ribosomal RNA", at positions 793 to 1055 of the family's 1533-position model. The record is from RNAcentral.
GUCCUGGCAGUAAACGGUGCAUGUUUGGUGUGGGAGGAUUCGACCCUUCCGUGCCGGAGCUAACGCGUUAAACAUGCCGCCUGGGAAGUACGGUCGCAAGAUUAAAACUCAAAGAAAUUGACGGGGGCCCGCACAAGCGGUGGAGUAUGUGGCUUAAUUCGAUGCAACGCGAAGAACCUUACCAGGGUUUGACAUGCACUGUAACCCCGGUGAAAGCCGGGUAGCUGUAGCAAUACAGCGCUUUGCACAGGUGCUGCAUGGCUGUCGU